This 497-nucleotide ribosomal RNA is filed under the name uncultured bacterium. RNAcentral describes it as "partial 16S ribosomal RNA". It matches the Rfam family "Bacterial small subunit ribosomal RNA", at positions 28 to 507 of the family's 1533-position model. The record is from RNAcentral.
GAUGAACGCUGGCGGCGUGCCUAAUACAUGCAAGUCGAGCGAACGGACGAGAAGCUUGCUUCUCUGAUGUUAGCGGCGGACGGGUGAGUAACACGUGGAUAACCUACCUAUAAGACUGGGAUAACUUCGGGAAACCGGAGCUAAUACCGGAUAAUAUUUUGAACCGCAUGGUUCAAAAGUGAAAGACGGUCUUGCUGUCACUUAUAGAUGGAUCCGCGCUGCAUUAGCUAGUUGGUAAGGUAACGGCUUACCAAGGCAACGAUGCAUAGCCGACCUGAGAGGGUGAUCGGCCACACUGGAACUGAGGCACGGUCCAGACUCCUACGGGAGGCAGCAGUAGGGAAUCUUCCGCAAAGGGCGAAAGCCUGACGGAGCAACGCCGCGUGAGUGAUGAAGGUCUUCGGAUCGUAAAACUCUGUUACUAGGGAAGAACAUAUGUGUAAGUAACUGUGCACAUCUUGACGGUACCUAAUCAGAAAGCCACGGCUAACUACGUG